This is a vault RNA of Heterocephalus glaber (naked mole-rat), 111 nucleotides long. Its record names the gene Vault. It matches the Rfam family "Vault RNA". From Rfam's summary of the family: This family of RNAs are found as part of the enigmatic vault ribonucleoprotein complex. The complex consists of a major vault protein (MVP), two minor vault proteins (VPARP and TEP1), and several small untranslated RNA molecules. The record is from Ensembl. NCBI's taxonomy places the organism in Eukaryota, Metazoa, Chordata, Mammalia, Rodentia, Bathyergidae.
AGGCUGGCCUCUAGCCCAGUGGUUCCUUCAGGAACAAAUUUUUACCCAUAUAGUCUGGUGGUUUCCACCAGCAGGAUGGAUUGAGACCUGCAGGCACUCUCCAGUCCUUUU